UAUAGGUUCCAAAAAAAAUUAUCAUAAAUUUAAUUUCGGAAUAUUUAACGUUUUCAAAAUAGAUAUAUACAAAUUAUUAAAAAUCAUUUAAAAUAAACAAUCUUUAAUUAUUUUUUUUAAGGCAGUAGGUUUAAAAUAAACAUUGUCAAUGUCACUAAAAAUAAAAAAUGUAGUGUAUGGUUUGUAUAACAAGAACAUAUAAUUAUCAAUAUUACCAACUUUUAUAAAUUAUAAAUGGUUACAGUGUGAUUUAAUUUAUGCAUGAUAUCGCCUUCAAAAUACCGAGAACGUACUUAAC
This is a non-coding RNA of Biomphalaria pfeifferi, 298 nucleotides long. NCBI's taxonomy places the organism in Eukaryota, Metazoa, Mollusca, Gastropoda, Planorbidae. The record is from the annotation of a GenBank genome assembly.